This 488-nucleotide ribosomal RNA is filed under the name uncultured bacterium. RNAcentral describes it as "partial 16S ribosomal RNA". It matches the Rfam family "Bacterial small subunit ribosomal RNA", at positions 28 to 507 of the family's 1533-position model. The record is from RNAcentral.
GAUGAACGCUAGCGGCAGGCCUAAUACAUGCAAGUCGGACGGGAUCCAUUGAUAGCUUGCUAUCAAUGGUGAGAGUGGCGCACGGGUGCGUAACGCGUGAGCAACCUGCCUCCAUCAGGGGGAUAGCCUCUCGAAAGAGAGAUUAACACCGCAUAAUAUCAACAGUUCGCAUGUUCAGUUGAUUAAAUAUUUAUAGGAUGGAGAUGGGCUCGCGUGACAUUAGCUAGUUGGUAGGGUAACGGCUUACCAAGGCGACGAUGUCUAGGGGCUCUGAGAGGAGAAUCCCCUACACUGGUACUGAGACACGGACCAGACUCCUACGGGAGGCAGCAGUAAGGAAUAUUGAUCAAUGGGCGGAAGCCUGAACCAGCCAUGCCGCGUGCAGGAUGACUGCCCUAUGGGUUGUAAACUGCUUUUGUCCAGGAAUAAACCUAAAUACGAGUAUUUAGCUGAAUGUACUGGAAGAAUAAGGAUCGGCUAACUCCGUG